This 492-nucleotide ribosomal RNA is filed under the name uncultured bacterium. RNAcentral's name for it is "partial 16S ribosomal RNA". It matches the Rfam family "Bacterial small subunit ribosomal RNA", at positions 29 to 507 of the family's 1533-position model. The record is from RNAcentral.
AGUGAACGCUGGCGGUAGGCCUAACACAUGCCAGUCGAACGGCAGCACAGUAAGAGCUUGCUCUUACGGGUGGCGAGUGGCGGACGGGUGAGGAAUACAUCGGAAUCUACUUUUUCGUGGGGGAUAACGUAGGGAAACUUACGCUAAUACCGCAUACGACCUACGGGUGAAAGCAGGGGAUCUUCGGACCUUGCGCGAUUGAAUGAGCCGAUGUCGGAUUAGCUAGUUGGCGGGGUAAAGGCCCACCAAGGCGACGAUCCGUAGCUGGUCUGAGAGGAUGAUCAGCCACACUGGAACUGAGACACGGUCCAGACUCCUACGGGAGGCAGCAGUGGGGAAUAUUGGACAAUGGGCGCAAGCCUGAUCCAGCCAUACCGCGUGGGUGAAGAAGGCCUUCGGGAUGUAAAGCCCUUUUGUUGGGAAAGAAAAGCAGCAGGUUAAUACCCCGCUGUUCUGACGGUACCCAAAGAAUAAGCACCGGCUAACUUCGUG